CGUCAGGAGCGCCAUGUCUUGCGCCGCUGACUAUGACGCUCAGUUCGCGUCGCGUUUCUCCGCAGAGGACGCGGAGUUCCAGCGGUACCGGGAGCGCGCACCGGACGCGCCGCCUGUGGUCGAGGACUGGAGAGCGCGCAGAGACCGAAGAGCUCCGGAGCACCGACAGCACGAGCAUCGCUUCCCUGAGCGCCGCCAUGAGCGAUCACGAUUCUGAUACCGAACCAGACCUCCAGCGAUGUUUGCCGGAUCACUGCUGAUCUUACUGCAGUUACACUGGCUUCUGUGUAAAUAAAGCAGUUCAGAUCAG
This is a long non-coding RNA of Carassius gibelio (silver crucian carp), 310 nucleotides long. RefSeq lists it as uncharacterized. The record is from RefSeq and is a predicted model, not a curated record. NCBI's taxonomy places the organism in Eukaryota, Metazoa, Chordata, Actinopteri, Cypriniformes, Cyprinidae. The transcript is spliced from 2 exons.